GGCGCUCCAAACACCGCGCGCGCCGCGUCCGCCAGAGGCCACUUUUCCCUCUUGCAUUUGAUUCACGGGUAACUUUGGGCCCCACACGGACCCCACCUUAGAGAGAUAUCAUGAUCUGCAGGAAAAGUCCAAUGAUUCCCUCGCAGCCACCAUUUAUUCAGCACUUGCUGCGUGCGCGGCCUGUGCCUAGCAAAACCCUGCUGAGCUCCAGGGAGGUUCGGUGAGGACUCGGCGAGCUCAGCUGAGAAACAGGUGACCACCACCCAGGCAAGAUGAAUAAUGCCAGGGUUUCCAUUGCCCCCUCUGAGCCGUGUCCCACCCCUGGAAGUCGCUACCACCUUGACUUCUAGCUGUUCCCAGAAUUUCACAUCAUUGAAACCACAUGAACAAGAGCACGGCUCUGGCGUCCAAGGCUCAGCUCUGCUGUGUGAACUGAGGACUCGCCUGCCUCUCGGGCCACAGCUCGGGGCAGUUAUUGAGGUGACCCAUGAGAAGCACCGUCAGUGCCCUCACGUGCCUCUGCCCUGCAAUCCCUGAAACCUCAGCUGCGCCGGCCACUGUGCCACCCAGGCUGCCCCCAGGGCAUGGCCCGGCCUCCAGCUCCCCACUGUGCCUCGGCUCCCCCACCACGCCUCCUCCUGCAGGGUUUGCUGCAGCCUUGGAGCCGUCGCGCCAUCCUGCUGAGCCCCCGUUUCCUCGUUUCCUCAUCUGGAACAGCAGGAAUGGCCCCAGCUGUGUGGGCUUCUUUUCUUAACCAAACAGGCUUCUCUCGUCCUCUGGCUUUAAUAAGGUGUGAUUUACAUGCGAUGAAGUCCCCCCAGUCAAUGUAACCCCGCCUUAGUGGCGGCCGGCCUGUGUGUGUCACGGCAGUGUGCCUUUGCCAGGGAAUCAGAUGGAGGUCACCUUUUAGCCUGGCUUCUUGGACUUGGCCUCAUGCACUGGACACUAGCCCACGUUGUUGCCUGUGCCUGUAGUUCGUUCCCUUUUCACGGCUGAGUGGUAUUCCAUUGGCCAGUGUUCCAUAACUGGUUUUUCCGUCCUCAAAAUUCAUGGACUUUUGAGUUCUUUGUUUUACUUAGAAUAAAUCUAUACAUAUUUGCAUACA
Myotis brandtii (Brandt's bat) is the source of this 1105-nucleotide long non-coding RNA. RefSeq lists it as uncharacterized. The transcript is spliced from 4 exons. The record is from RefSeq and is a predicted model, not a curated record. Lineage: Eukaryota; Metazoa; Chordata; Mammalia; Chiroptera; Vespertilionidae.